Molecule: long non-coding RNA, 1086 nt
Filed under: Mytilus galloprovincialis (Mediterranean mussel)
Lineage: Eukaryota; Metazoa; Mollusca; Bivalvia; Mytilida; Mytilidae
Source: RNAcentral
AGCCACUGCUGGUGGACGUUUCGUCCACAAGGGUAUCACCAGUCCAGUAGUUUUCGGUGUUGACAUGAAUAUCAAUAAUGUGGUCAUUUUUAUAAAUUUCCUGUUUACAAAACUUUUAUUUUGUUCUUUUCUUACACUGGAUCUCUGUAUACUUUUUUCCCAGAAACUUAGACAAAAGUCACAUCUCCUCCACUAUCUGGUUCUACCUUCACAUCCACAUCAUCAAUUCUCACCGGCAUUGUGUUUUGAAUGUCUCAAAUUCUAUGUAUGGUCUUCACUUCAUUUCUCAGUAUGUGCUUGACAGAUUCUUCAAUACAAUCCUUAUAUCACAUCUUCUUUAUUUUAUAUUCGUCGUCAUCUUUAUCACAGACUAAUAGAUCUGUAUUUGAAUAAGUUUCAUUUUUAUCUUCUGUUGUUUGCUCAAUAGUUGUUCGUCUUUUUUAUUCGGGAUGUCAACGAGUACUCGAGUAUCGCUAGUAAGUACUAAAUAUCGGUAACCUAAUGAUAUGCUCGACAUAUCUGUUUGUUGUUAGAGAAUGUUAUUGCUUCGUAAGUUUAUAAACAAAAACAUAGUUUUAUUGAGAACACCUCCCGGGAAAAUAUCAUACAUUAAUCAAAAUUAAUAAAAAUUGAAAUACGAUUCUGAAUAUUGUGUUUAAUUGUGAUUUGAAAUUCUUCCAAACUGAUGUUCAUGUGGGACAUAACAAGAGCAUUUUUCCAAGGCUGAUACCUAUCAAUAUUUUCAUCAGCACGACUGUUUGUAAACUUACAAAUUUCAUAAAUCGCUACGUCCCAGAAAAAGAUGACAUGAUAAUAUUUUUAGAGAAGAUCACAUUCGUUGCACCCUGUGUCGACCCUCAGAAAGGAUAAAUCAUCAUCCCUUUGUUGAUCAUGAAAUAAUUUUUUACAGUUCCCAAAUACUGUUGUUUGAGUAAUAAUUUUUCCUUAGAUAUUAAUUAAUUAUUUGAUUAUAUUAUUAUUAGUCUACACACUUAGUACAUGCAGUAAAUGAGCUAUUAAUUAUGGUAUAAAAUUCCUUAGUCCUAUGUAAUAAUGUUGAGGUUUUUACAAUUAAAAGACAGCAAC